GUGGGGAAUAUUGGACAAUGGGCGCAAGCCUGAUCCAGCCAUGCCGCGUGAGUGAUGAAGGCCCUAGGGUUGUAAAGCUCUUUCACCGGAGAAGAUAAUGACGGUAUCCGGAGAAGAAGCCCCGGCUAACUUCGUGCCAGCAGCCGCGGUAAUACGAAGGGGGCUAGCGUUGUUCGGAAUUACUGGGCGUAAAGCGCACGUAGGCGGACAUUUAAGUCAGGGGUGAAAUCCCGGAGCUCAACUCCGGAACUGCCUUUGAUACUGGGUGUCUGGAGUAUGGAAGAGGUGAGUGGAAUUCCGAGUGUAGAGGUGAAAUUCGUAGAUAUUCGGAGGAACACCAGUGGCGAAGGCGGCUCACUGGCUCAUUACUGACGCUGAGGCUCGAAAGCGUGGGGAGCAAACAGGAUUAGAAACCCUAGUAGUCC
RNAcentral lists this ribosomal RNA (425 nucleotides) under uncultured bacterium. RNAcentral's name for it is "partial 16S ribosomal RNA". It matches the Rfam family "Bacterial small subunit ribosomal RNA", at positions 354 to 796 of the family's 1533-position model. The record is from RNAcentral.